Long non-coding RNA from Zonotrichia leucophrys gambelii, 927 nucleotides. RefSeq lists it as uncharacterized. Lineage: Eukaryota; Metazoa; Chordata; Aves; Passeriformes; Passerellidae. The transcript has 2 exons. The record is from RefSeq and is a predicted model, not a curated record.
GGAGUCUGUUGGCUGCUUUGUAAAGAAGAAAGAGUCAGUGCUUUGAGGAGAUGCCCAUGAGAGGCACCAAGAAGGUAUGAAACUUUGGUGAUAAGGAAACAACAGUAUGGAACCCCUGCAAUAAGAUGACAACAAAAUGGCAUCAUACAAGCUCCCUUCAGCCCCUGGAAGGCCCUGAUUACAUCACCCUGAGAUGCACAGUAAAAAGGGGAAGUUUGUCAGUGCACCACCCCAGCAAGCUCUCAGGAAGGAUUUUAUACCAGCCUGCAUUGCCAGCAUUGCAAAAGAACUCCUUGCUGUGAUGGAGGGAGGGGCUGUCAGGACUGUUUUGACUUUCUGACUGCUUUUUGAGCCAUUUUCCAACCUCUUGCAUGUUUUUUGCACUUUAAUGAACAGAAGAUGUAGUCAGAGACUCGGCAGCAGGCUUGGAGAGCCAGGAGCAGAGGGAGGCACUCACCUUCCUGGCCAGCUUUUCCCUGCCACCCAGCAAUAAACAACUCUUUUAUUUCAUGCUGAUGUUAACGUGCAAGCGUCUUCCCUUUCAGCAGAGGCACCUCAGGUGUUAGACAGUAAAACAUAGCUCUUGUAGUAGGAACAGAGACAAGCUCCCAAUCCAUUUAUUGAUGUUGCUGGUGCACCAUCAGUGCUUGCUCCAGAGUCUGUGUUCCUGUAUCUUUUUUUGCAAUAUUCCCAAACUGCGUCUCCUUGAGACCUCUGCUUUACACUAGUGAAAAAUCUAUGAGAUGCUACAUUAUUGACUAGCCAAUGGUCCUCUUCCUUUAUAACUAGCUGAUUUUAUAUGACUUAACCUCAGAGCUACUUGGAAAUUAGAAAGAAAACCCAGCUCUAGAACUAUAAGGCAUUAUUGUCUGGGACUUUGAGAUCAGCUGCUAAAGUCACAUGGGAAAGGGUUACUUAACAGAAAAA